Molecule: transfer RNA, 73 nt
Filed under: Paracercomonas marina
Lineage: Eukaryota; Cercozoa; Cercomonadida; Cercomonadidae
Description: tRNA-Ile
Rfam family: tRNA
About the family: Transfer RNA (tRNA) molecules are approximately 80 nucleotides in length. Their secondary structure includes four short double-helical elements and three loops (D, anti-codon, and T loops). Further hydrogen bonds mediate the characteristic L-shaped molecular structure. tRNAs have two regions of fundamental functional importance: the anti-codon, which is responsible for specific mRNA codon recognition, and the 3' end, to which the tRNAs corresponding amino acid is attached (by aminoacyl-tRNA synthetases). tRNAs cope with the degeneracy of the genetic code in two manners: having more than one tRNA (with a specific anti-codon) for a particular amino acid; and 'wobble' base-pairing, i.e. permitting non-standard base-pairing at the 3rd anti-codon position.
Source: RNAcentral
GCCCUAAUAGCUUAAUUAGCAAAGUUUCCGACUUAUAAGCGAGAAGAUAUAGGUGCAAAUCCUAUUUAGGGCA